GACGGACGCUGGCGGCGUGCUUAACACAUGCAAGUCGAACGGAAAGGCCCUGCUUUUGUGGGGUGCUCGAGUGGCGAACGGGUGAGUAACACGUGAGUAACCUGCCCUUGACUUUGGGAUAACUUCAGGAAACUGGGGCUAAUACCGGAUAGGAGCUCCUGCUGCAUGGUGGGGGUUGGAAAGUUUCGGCGGUUGGGGAUGGACUCGCGGCUUAUCAGCUUGUUGGUGGGGUAGUGGCUUACCAAGGCUUUGACGGGUAGCCGGCCUGAGAGGGUGACCGGCCACAUUGGGACUGAGAUACGGCCCAGACUCCUACGGGAGGCAGCAGUGGGGAAUAUUGCACAAUGGGCGGAAGCCUGAUGCAGCAACGCCGCGUGCGGGAUGACGGCCUUCGGGUUGUAAACCGCCUUCGCCUGUGACGAAGCGUGAGUGACGGUAAUGGGUAAAGAAGCACCGGCUAACUACGUG
This 468-nucleotide ribosomal RNA is filed under the name uncultured bacterium. RNAcentral's name for it is "partial 16S ribosomal RNA". It matches the Rfam family "Bacterial small subunit ribosomal RNA", at positions 28 to 507 of the family's 1533-position model. The record is from RNAcentral.